UACGGAGGGGGCUAGCGUUGUUCGGAAUCAUUGGGCGUAAAGGGCGCGUAGGCGGCCGAUCAAGUCGGAGGUGAAAUCCCUCGGCUCAACUGAGGAAUUGCCUUCGAUACUGGUCGGCUUGAGUCCGGUAGGGGAGCACGGAAUUCCUGGUGUAGCGGUGAAAUGCGCAGAUAUCAGGAGGAACACCGGUGGCGAAGGCGGGUCUCUGGGCCGAUACUGACGCUGAGGAGCGAAAGCGUGGGGAGCGAACAGG
This 253-nucleotide ribosomal RNA is filed under the name uncultured bacterium. RNAcentral's name for it is "partial 16S ribosomal RNA". It matches the Rfam family "Bacterial small subunit ribosomal RNA", at positions 524 to 776 of the family's 1533-position model. The record is from RNAcentral.